RNAcentral lists this non-coding RNA (33 nucleotides) under unclassified sequences. Its description in RNAcentral is "L31-Firmicutes ribosomal protein leader". It matches the Rfam family "L31-Firmicutes ribosomal protein leader". The record is from RNAcentral.
CUAUGAUUAAAAAAUUAAUCAUGGCGGAAGGAG